GUGGGGAAUAUUGGACAAUGGGCGAAAGCCUGAUCCAGCCAUGCCGCGUGUGUGAAGAAGGUCUUCGGAUUGUAAAGCACUUUAAGUUGGGAGGAAGGGCAGUAAGUUAAUACCUUGCUGUUUUGACGUUACCAACAGAAUAAGCACCGGCUAACUUCGUGCCAGCAGCCGCGGUAAUACGAAGGGUGCAAGCGUUAAUCGGAAUUACUGGGCGUAAAGCGCGCGUAGGUGGUUUUGUAAGUUGGAGGUGAAAUCCCCGGGCUCAACCUGGGAACUGCCACCAAAACUGCAUGACUAGAGUACGGUAGAGGGUAGUGGAAUUUCCUGUGUAGCGGUGAAAUGCGUAGAUAUAGGAAGGAACACCAGUGGCGAAGGCGACUACCUGGACUGAUACUGACACUGAGGUGCGAAAGCGUGGGGAGCAAACAGGAUUAGAAACCCUGGUAGUCC
Molecule: ribosomal RNA, 450 nt
Filed under: uncultured bacterium
Lineage: Bacteria
Description: bacterial SSU rRNA
Rfam family: Bacterial small subunit ribosomal RNA
Source: RNAcentral